Molecule: ribosomal RNA, 253 nt
Filed under: uncultured bacterium
Lineage: Bacteria
Description: partial 16S ribosomal RNA
Rfam family: Bacterial small subunit ribosomal RNA
Source: RNAcentral
UACGUAGGCAGCGAGCGUUGUUCGGAGUUACUGGGCGUAAAGGGUGUGUAGGCGGUUGCUUAAGUUUGGUGUGAAAUCUCCCGGCUCAACCGGGAGGGUGCGCCGAAUACUGAGUGACUAGAGUGCGGGAGAGGAAAGUGGAAUUCCUGGUGUAGCGGUGAAAUGCGUAGAUAUCAGGAGGAACACCUGUGGCGAAAGCGGCUCACUGGACCAUAACUGACGCUGAUGCACGAAGGCUAGGGGAGCAAACAGG